AGAGUUUGAUCCUGGCUCAGAAUCAACGCUGGCGGCGUGCCUAACACAUGCAAGUCGAACGAGAAAGUGGAGCAAUCCAUGAGUAAAGUGGCGACCGGGUGAGUAACACGUGACUAACCUACCUUCGAGUGGGGGAUAACCUCGGGAAACCGGGGCAAAUACCGCAUAAUAUCUUCGGGAUGAGAAGCCGAAGAUCAAAGGAGCAAUUCGCUGGAAGAGGGAGUCGCGGCUGAUUAGCUAGUUGGCGGGGUAAUGGCCCACCAAGGCUUUGAUCGGUAGCCGGCCUGAGAGGGCGCACGGCCACACUGGAACUGAAACACGGUCCAGACUCCUACGGGAGGCAGCAGUGGGGAAUUUUGCGCAAUGGGGGAAACCCUGACGCAGCAACGCCGCGUGGAGGAGGAAGUCCCUUGGGACGUAAACUCCUUUCGACCCGGACGAUAAUGACGUACGGUGAGAGUCG
This 463-nucleotide ribosomal RNA is filed under the name uncultured soil bacterium. Its description in RNAcentral is "bacterial SSU rRNA". It matches the Rfam family "Bacterial small subunit ribosomal RNA", at positions 8 to 468 of the family's 1533-position model. The record is from RNAcentral.